UGAAAAAAAGCUGACGUUCGUGAAUAUAUAUCGUUGUUUAGCGUACAUGCAGAGAGAAGAAAUAUUGGUGUUUUCUGCGAAAUAUUGAUAGAGAUCCAGGUGGACACAUUUCCUCACUCCAGCCACCAAUCGCAGGUUGUUUUGGUUUCAAUUCUAAAGAUGAAGAGUGAUACUGUAGCCCAUCACCUUGUCAAAAGAUGGUCAGCCUACAUCCCUUCCUUCACAGACAUUUUUGAUGAAGAGAUGUUCUACAUCUGUUUCUUUCUGUUAACAGUGGUGAGCAUUAUAGGUGCAAUAUUUUUGUCACGACGCGUUGAAAUCAAAGAUGCUGGUCAUGUGGACUGAUGCUGAAUGUGCUUUUAAAGCAGGAAACGAUGAUUCUUAAAGACAUGAAUGUGCGUAGGAAUGUAAAAAACUCACUCAACAGGACUCACACCAAAGGAGAAAAGGGUUAAAUUCAAAACAAACAAAAUGUCUAAGUUUGAUACAGAUUUUGGUCCAUCACUUUACAAAUUUAAUUAUCUGGAUAUUUUGAAAAAUCUGCACCUGCUUGACUAAAUGUAUCCAUCUGAAUGUGUUGACGUCAACUGGACAGCAAUCCUUAACGAGGGUUCAUGAUGUGACCUUGCUUGUCAUACUUCAAAACAAAUUUAUUUAGUAAUUGCAAGUGUUUGAGAUAUAUGUAUCCUUAUGGAAAUGAGGCACCAGUACCUCCUGAGAUCCUUCUGUGAUUAUUAUAAAGCAAUUGCCACAGUGAUUUUCUUAAGGAAUUUCAACUCCCUAAAUACAGUUAAUAAAAGUAAGCAUUUGAAAUAUAUUUCUGAUAAUAUACUCCUAAAUCACUUUUAUAGUAUUUUAAAAGAUAGGGAAACUUCAUAAUAAUAAAGUUAACAUCAUACUGUUUUUAUAUAAUUGUAAAUGACAUAUUAAGCUGAUACCUAGUCUUACAAUUCUCUAGUAAUGUAUGUCUUUUAUCUUUGUUUAUUCCUGUAUUACCUAAUCAGUAAGUGUUCUCUUCAUGAUUCCAGUAGGUUAAAAAUAAUGUUUAACUUCAGCAAACAUAUUUAACAUCUGUUUUACUGUCGUAGAUUUUAUGUAUACUGAAUCAGAUUUUUAUCUAGGCCAACUAGUAUAUUUAAAAUGUCAGUUGAAAUCAUUUUCAUACAGUAUAUUGAGAAUAACAUGUAGAGUACAUAAUUGUUAUACCUAAUGCCUACAGUUAAUAUGGCUAUUUAAAAGACAACUUACUACAUACAUAUGAUCAGUGACUGUACUGUAUUGUAUAAAGAUUUUAAUGUUUGUUCCAUUGCAUGAUUUUUGUUAAUGAAGUUCAAUACAUUAUAGCUAGUAAUGGUACACAAUUUUUUCUCUACACCCAUGUCAUUCCUAUUUAUCUACAUGUACAUAUGUUUCUGGUUUUAUAUAUUAGAAACAUAAUUCUUUUUGAUGUGUGUUUGUGGAUUUAUUUAUAAAGAAGUGUAUUUCUUUUUGCUGAUGAUUGUAUGGAAAGUGAUAAUUUUUCAACAGUUUCAGCCUUUGUUUUCAUGAAACUGUACAUUUUUCUGUACUAUAGUUCUGUGAUGAACGCUCCUGUUCAUUGUUACAGGGACAAAGACAAAAGUAGAGGUCACAGCUAGGGUGGACAAGUCUGACAAAUACUAACUCCAAGGUAUUUCCCAUUUGUUUAAGAUCAAAGAUUUAUGCACACUAUUCACAUUGAAUGGAUUUGUUGAUGUUUCACUAAAUUUCUUUAAGUUUAAUUAGCCUAAAAUAAAAAUGAAAAUACUAUUUAACAAGUACAGAGAUAAAAAUGCAAGCCUCCAGAUUUUUUUCACUUCAUAAAACAUCAGAUUAUCAGAAAUAUGAUUACACAGAUAAAACAAAACCAAAAUUUUACCCUAAAUGGGAGAUAACCGCUAUUUAGUAAUCCUCCUUAUAGCCAUUCGUUUUUCAAUUGAUCCAUGCAAAAGUUUAUACAAGAAGUUCUAGCUUUGUUGUAAAAACUGAAAUGAUACUUUACAGAUAAAUAGGAUAGCUGACAUAUUUUUGAACCAGAACAUGCUGAAAAAUGAGCUUAGUUUGAAAACAGAGUCUGAAAAUAACAUGAAAAGUUUGCCAAUGUCCAGGUUAUCAUUUUGUUAAUACAUGGGUUUAAUAACACACAUGACUAACAAAAUUAUAACUAAUGUUUGGCAUGUUUGAAUAUGUGUGGAUUGGAAUCUCACCAGAUUAGACCUGAAUUAUUUCAUCUUUAUCUUGAAAGAUGCAUAAUGUGCAAUAAAAUAUGUUUUCGUAACUUUGAA
Molecule: long non-coding RNA, 2303 nt
Organism: Ylistrum balloti
Lineage: Eukaryota; Metazoa; Mollusca; Bivalvia; Pectinida; Pectinidae
Exons: 2
Source: RefSeq, a predicted model, not a curated record